GAUGAACGCUGGCGGCGUGCCUAAUACAUGCAAGUCGAGCGAACGGACGAGAAGCUUGCUUCUCUGAUGUUAGCGGCGGACGGGUGAGUAACACGUGGAUAACCUACCUAUAAGACUGGGAUAACUUCGGGAAACCGGAGCUAAUACCGGAUGAUAUUUUGAACCGCAUGGUUCAAAAGUGAAAGACGGUCUUGCUGUCACUUAUAGAUGGAUCCGCGCUGCAUUAGCUAGUUGGUAAGGUAACGGCUUACCAAGGCAACGAUGCAUAGCCGACCUGAGAGGGUGAUCGACAACACUGGAACUGAGACACGGUCCAGACUCCUACGGGAGGCAGCAGUAGGGAAUCUUACGCAAUGGGCGAAAGCCUAACGGAGCAACGCCGCGUGAGUGAUGAAGGUCUUCGGAUCGUAAAACUCUGUUAUUAGGGAAGAACAUAUGUGUAAGUAACUGUGCACAUCUUGACGGUACCUAAUCAGAAAGCCACGGCUAACUACGUG
This 497-nucleotide ribosomal RNA is filed under the name uncultured bacterium. RNAcentral describes it as "partial 16S ribosomal RNA". It matches the Rfam family "Bacterial small subunit ribosomal RNA", at positions 28 to 507 of the family's 1533-position model. The record is from RNAcentral.